GAGAACCUUUAAAGAAUUAUAAAGAAAUAACAUAGAAAUUUUAAAAUAUAUUAAAAUAGAAAUCUUAAUAGAAUAUUAAAAUAAAAAACUUAAUUAAAUCCUAGUCAAAAUCUAAUCAAAUUCUAAUCAAAUUCUUGUCAAAUCCUAAAUAAAUCCUAAAUAAAUCCUAGUCAAUUUGUAAAAAAAUCCUAAUCAAAUCCAAGUCAAAUAUUAAAAAAACUCUAACCAAAUCCUAAACAUAUCCUAAAUAAAUUCUAAAUAAAUCUUAAUCAAAUCCUAAAUUAAUCUUAGUCAAAUCUUAAAUAAAUCUUAAUUUUAUCCUAAUCAAAACCUAAAUAAAUCCUAAUAAAAUCCAAAAAAAAUCCUAACUAAAUCCUAUUCAAAUCUUAAACAAACCUUAACCAAAUCCUAGUCAAAUUCUAAUUAAAUCCUAACCAUAUUCUAAUCAAAUCCUAAACAAAUCCAAAUCAAAUCUUAAAUAAAUCCUAAUAAAAUCCUAAAAAAAUCCUAACCAAAUUCUAAUCAAACCUUAAACAAACAUUAACCAAAUCCAAAUCAAACAUUAAACAUAUCCUAAUCAAAACCUAAUCAAAUACUAAAUAUAUCUUAAC
This 611-nucleotide long non-coding RNA is filed under the name Physcomitrium patens. Its description in RNAcentral is "long non-coding RNA (PPAT_LNC000070)". The record is from RNAcentral. Lineage: Eukaryota; Viridiplantae; Streptophyta; Bryopsida; Funariales; Funariaceae.